RNAcentral lists this ribosomal RNA (497 nucleotides) under uncultured bacterium. RNAcentral's name for it is "partial 16S ribosomal RNA". It matches the Rfam family "Bacterial small subunit ribosomal RNA", at positions 28 to 507 of the family's 1533-position model. The record is from RNAcentral.
GAUGAACGCUGGCGGCGUGCCUAAUACAUGCAAGUCGAGCGAACAGACGAGGAGCUUGCUCCUCUGACGUUAGCGGCGGACGGGUGAGUAACACGUGGAUAACCUACCUAUAAGACUGGGAUAACUUCGGGAAACCGGAGCUAAUACCGGAUAAUAUAUUGAACCGCAUGGUUCAAUAGUGAAAGACGGUUUUGCUGUCACUUAUAGAUGGAUCCGCGCCGCAUUAGCUAGUUGGUAAGGUAACGGCUUACCAAGGCGACGAUGCGUAGCCGACCUGAGAGGGUGAUCGGCCACACUGGAACUGAGGCACGGUCCAGACUCCUACGGGAGGCAGCAGUAGGGAAUCUUCCGCAAUGGGCGAAAGCCUGACGGAGUAACGCCGCGUGAGUGAUGAAGGUCUUCGGAUCGUAAAACUCUGUUAUUAGGGAAGAACAAAUGUGUAAGUAACUAUGCACGUCUUGACGGUACCUAAUCAGAAAGCCACGGCUAACUACGUG